UCUGGCGCAAGCCCGAGUUGUAAUUUGUAGAGGAUGCUUCUGGGCAGCGGCCGGUCUAAGUUCCUUGGAACAGGACGUCAUAGAGGGUGAGAAUCCCGUAUGCGACCGGCUUGCACCCGUCACGUAGCUCCUUCGACGAGUCGAGUUGUUUGGGAAUGCAGCUCUAAAUGGGAGGUAAAUUUCUUCUAAGGCUAAAUACCGGCCAGAGACCGAUAGCGCACAAGUAGAGUGAUCGAAAGAUGAAAAGCACUUUGGAAAGAGAGUUAAAAAGCACGUGAAAUUGUUGAAAGGGAAGCUCACGCAGCCAGACUUGUCGGCGGUGUUCCGCCGGUCUUCUGACCGGUCUAUUCGCCGCCGGCAGGCCAGCAUCACUUGGGAGCGCCGGAUAAAGGCGUGCGGAAUGUAGCCCCUCGGGGCAUUAUAGCCGCGCGCACAAUACGGCGCCUCCCGAGUGAGGUCCGCGCUUCGGCUAGGAUGCUGGCGUAAUGGUUGCUUGAAGCCC
Molecule: ribosomal RNA, 502 nt
Filed under: Hortaea werneckii
Lineage: Eukaryota; Fungi; Ascomycota; Dothideomycetes; Mycosphaerellales; Teratosphaeriaceae
Description: partial large subunit ribosomal RNA
Rfam family: Eukaryotic large subunit ribosomal RNA
Source: RNAcentral